AUGUCACUGGUUCGCGGUUAGUUCAAAACUAUAAAUCACGUCAGCAGCAAGAGCGAGAGAGUACAAAUACAAUUGAAACGUUAACCCUCAUUUUCAGUUCGCACAAUAGCUACAUUUAUACGGUCCUUACGAAACAGUGGCGGAAUUGGUGGAUUAGAGAAACGUAUUAAUGUACUUACAUAUGUUGAAAUAUACAGGGUGAAUCAUAAGAAGUAGAACAUUCGAACAUCUCUCUGACAAGAUUGAAGACUUCCUCUUUAACGUUAUUUGCAAGGUUUUUUCAAGGUCGCCGAUUUUAGUUCUAAGUAAUAGUAAUAGUGCCACGAUUUGCAUUCAACCUGCGUGGGAAAUAAUCAUACAACAGGGUAUACAUAACUUAAUAUUGAGACGCGUCAUUGUUCCGUUUUAAUGUAAUAUACAUUUCGGCGAACCGACUCAUUAUCAGAUAAGCCUUCGACAGCAAAGGCGGGAACUCCAUCUCAAACAUAAGAAAAUACGCUGUAUCGGUUGUUGAAAGGCGAAAAACCUCGGAAACAAGAAGAGAAAACCCGAUUUCAACGCCGUCACGUACAGCGUAUUUCCCGGUCGUCUGCUAGGUCGUUUCAAGGGCGGCACAAUCAAAUUCCCCAUCGGAGAACCCGAGGAGAUUUACUGCUGGCUUUGGAUCGAGAGAAGCCUACUUAUUGUUUCAUCUGGAAUCUAUCUUCUACUGCGAUUUAAUAUGUAUUGCUAAUUAUUGCAUUGUCCGCGUGUAUAUUUGAUCGAGAUCUCAAUGAACCGUGUGCAAUUUACAACGUAAAAUGAUUCGAGAUCCCCCUGAUUUCCACGGAUUAAGAAGUGUUCGUGUUCCGUGAUACUUAUUCAAAUUUGUGCAGAUGCUCGUUACAGACAUCUCCAUUAACGGAAGUAAAUGAACUUCAUUAGCAUGUAAUUUUUGAUAAGAGAAUGUUUACUUUCUCCGGUAGGUGGAUUAUAAAUAAACUUUAUACACCACCAUAAUUAAGGUGUAUUAACGUGUAAACGAAAGCUAAUGAAGAUGACAAUUUUAAUGUCAA
Molecule: long non-coding RNA, 1055 nt
Organism: Nomia melanderi (Alkali bee)
Lineage: Eukaryota; Metazoa; Arthropoda; Insecta; Hymenoptera; Halictidae
Source: RefSeq, a predicted model, not a curated record